RNAcentral lists this non-coding RNA (119 nucleotides) under Desulforamulus ferrireducens. Its description in RNAcentral is "Desulfotomaculum ferrireducens MoCo sequence". It matches the Rfam family "Molybdenum/Tungsten riboswitch aptamer (Moco RNA motif)". The record is from Rfam by way of RNAcentral. Lineage: Bacteria; Bacillati; Bacillota; Clostridia; Eubacteriales; Peptococcaceae.
AUAUGCAAAGUUCUCCGAGCCAUAACGCCUAAAACAAUUGUCAUGGUAUUAUGGCCGUUUAGGGUUAAUCGGGAAACUGGUUAGCCUCCCCUUUGGAAAGGAGAGCAUUAUGCCGCCUG